RNAcentral lists this ribosomal RNA (378 nucleotides) under uncultured bacterium. Its description in RNAcentral is "bacterial SSU rRNA". It matches the Rfam family "Bacterial small subunit ribosomal RNA", at positions 32 to 418 of the family's 1533-position model. The record is from RNAcentral.
AAUCAACGCUGGCGGCGUGCCUAACACAUGCAAGUCGCACGAGAAAGGGGAGCAAUCCCUGAGUAAAGUGGCGCACGGGUGAGUAACACGUGAAUGAUCUACCUCCGAGUGGGAAUAACCUAGAGAAAUCUGGGCUAAUACCGCAUAACACUUACGAGUACAAAGCAGCAAUGCGCUUGGAGAGGAGUUCGCGGCCGAUUAGCUAGUUGGCGGGGUAAUGGCCCACCAAGGCGAUGAUCGGUAUCCGGCCUGAGAGGGCGCACGGACACACUGGAACUGAAACACGGUCCAGACUCCUACGGGAGGGCAGCAGUGGGGUAAUUUUGCGCAAGUGGGGAAACCCUGACGCAGCAACGCCGCGUGGAGGAUGAACGCCCC